UUUGUGGCAGGCCUAAGGUUUGCUGAAUCUCUGCUUACAAUCUGAACAGGCAUUAGAGUUUUGGUUUUUUUUCAAUUCAAGUGCACAGAAGAAGCAGGAUCUGCUUAAACAUAUAUCAUGUCUAUGUCGAAAAAUGAGAAUGUGGAAGAAAAGUUAUGUCACAUCUGAGAAUUGCAGGGGAAGUGAUGUAACACCAAAGCUGCUUUCACUCUUAAAUACUGGGUACCAGAACAUCUCAGAAAUUAUCAUAUGGGGCUGACCCAGAAUUCAGUUCUACCACUGAAGCCUUCUUUCUGCCUUCCCUCCACUGUGGCGAAAUAGAAACCUACAGUAGUGUGGCAUGAAAACCAGGAAUAUAAUAAAGGUCUCUUUUACAGAUUUCUUUUUAAAAUGUCCCCCGCCCCCGGCACCCAAUACCUAAUUUCAUUGGAGCUCUGCAGCUAGAUUGACAACAUCUUGACAACCAGUGCAAAGCAGGAAGCAUGCUGGUAUCAGGAAGGUAUCAUAUCAGCUUUAGCAAAGUAUUCACAGCACUAUUGACAUGAAUUAUGGUCUUGGUUCAUUAAAAGGGCAGUAUAUUUUUAAAGAAAUAAUAUUGUCCCUUUCUUGUAUUGGGUAGCUUCCUUUGAAUGAUUCAUUUGUUCAAAACAUGAUGACUGCUGAAUCUGUGAGCUGUAGAGCUACUGGCUUUAACUUAGGUAUUAAAAUUGCAUGCACGGGGAUUUAGAUAACUUUUGUCUAAUGUUCAUACCCAGUAACUCAUGCAGGAGAAUCACAGCGUAACAAAAUGUGUUGCAUGCUCAAAAAUAAACAUAUAUUAUUUUCUACUGCUCUGAAUGACUUAAGUGGGAUUUAACAGAAGGGCUUUCAUAUCUGGUGGCAAAAGUUAAAUAAAUGUUGUAUGUUAGCAAGUAACCAGUCAUAAAAUAAAUGAAAUCCGUUGUCAUGAAGGAGGGCUAUACAAUGUUAGUUCUUUGUGUGAGAACAAAUCAUAGGAUAAUUGAAAAAUGUCAGGAGUGCAGCAAUAACUGACAAGAAAAAGAAUAAAUGAUUAGAAUGUGUUUAUUUAUUCAUUUAUUUAACACAUUUGUAUACCGCCCAAAACGCAAGUCUCAAAACACAAGAAUCAUAAUCGUGAUAGCUUAUUAUUCAGCAAUGCUAAAUAGAACA
This is a long non-coding RNA of Hemicordylus capensis (graceful crag lizard), 1170 nucleotides long. RefSeq lists it as uncharacterized. The transcript is spliced from 5 exons. NCBI's taxonomy places the organism in Eukaryota, Metazoa, Chordata, Lepidosauria, Squamata, Cordylidae. The record is from RefSeq and is a predicted model, not a curated record.